This 392-nucleotide ribosomal RNA is filed under the name uncultured bacterium. Its description in RNAcentral is "partial 16S ribosomal RNA". It matches the Rfam family "Bacterial small subunit ribosomal RNA", at positions 523 to 918 of the family's 1533-position model. The record is from RNAcentral.
AUACGGAGGAUCCGAGCGUUAUCCGGAUUUAUUGGGUUUAAAGGGUGCGCAGGCGGCCAUUUAAGUCAGCGGUUAAAUCGUGGGGCUCAACCCCAUUCUGCCGUUGAUACUGGGUGGCUUGAUUGCGGUCGAGGUUGGCGGAAUUCGUUGUGUAGCGGUGAAAUGCAUAGAUAUGACGAAGAACACCGAUUGCGUAGGCAGCUGACCAGACCGCAAAUGACGCUCAUGCACGAAAGUGCGGGGAUCGAACAGGAUUAGAUACCCUGGUAGUCCGCACAGUAAACGAUGAGUACUUGUUUUCGGCGAUAUAAUGUCGGAGGCAAAGCGAAAGCGAUAAGUAUUCCACCUGGGGAGUACGCCGGCAACGGUGAAACUCAAAUGAAUUGACGGGG